Sorex araneus (European shrew) is the source of this 106-nucleotide small nuclear RNA. Lineage: Eukaryota; Metazoa; Chordata; Mammalia; Eulipotyphla; Soricidae. The record is from Ensembl.
AUGCUUCCCUUAGGAGCACAGAUACUAAAAUUGGAAUAAUACAGAGAUGUGGAUGGCCCCUGGGUAAAAAUUCAACAUGCAAAUUCAUGAAACAUUUCAUACUUGU